This 497-nucleotide ribosomal RNA is filed under the name uncultured bacterium. RNAcentral describes it as "partial 16S ribosomal RNA". It matches the Rfam family "Bacterial small subunit ribosomal RNA", at positions 28 to 507 of the family's 1533-position model. The record is from RNAcentral.
GAUGAACGCUGGCGGCGUGCCUAAUACAUGCCAGUCGAGCGAACAGAUAAGGAGCUUGCUCCCUUGGCGUUAGCGGCGGACGGGUGAGUAACACGUGGGUAACCUACCUAUAAGACUGGGAUAACUUCGGGAAACCGGAGCUAAUACCGGAUAACAUUUGGAACCGCAUGGUUCUAAAGUGAAAGAUGGUUUUGCUAUCACUUAUAGAUGGACCCGCGCCGUAUUAGCUAGUUGGUAAGGUAACGGCUUACCAAGGCAACGAUACGUAGCCGACCUGAGAGGGUGAUCGGCCACACUGGAACUGAGACACGGUCCAGACUCCUACGGGAGGCAGCAGUAGGGAAUCUUCCGCAAUGGGCGAAAGCCUGACGGAGCAACGCCGCGUGAGUGAUGAAGGGUUUCGGCUCGUAAAACUCUGUUAUUAGGGAAGAACAAACGUGUAAGUAACUGUGCACGUCUUGACGGUACCUAAUCAGAAAGCCACGGCUAACUACGUG